This 465-nucleotide ribosomal RNA is filed under the name uncultured bacterium. RNAcentral describes it as "bacterial SSU rRNA". It matches the Rfam family "Bacterial small subunit ribosomal RNA", at positions 28 to 507 of the family's 1533-position model. The record is from RNAcentral.
GACGAACGCUGGCGGCGCGCCUAACACAUGCAAGUCGAACGAGAGAUGAGGAGCUUGCUCUUCAGAUCGAGUGGCGAACGGGUGAGUAACGCGUGAGGAACCUGCCUCAAAGAGGGGGACAACAGUUGGAAACGACUGCUAAUACCGCAUAAGCCCACGGCUCGGCAUCGAGCAGGGGGAAAGGAGCAAUCCGCUUUGAGAUGGCCUCGCGUCCGAUUAGCUAGUUGGUGAGGUAACAGCCCACCAAGGCGACGAUCGGUAGCCGGACUGAGAGGUUGAACGGCCACAUUGGGACUGAGACACGGCCCAGACUCCUACGGGAGGCAGCAGUGGGGAAUAUUGCACAAUGGGGGAAACCCUGAUGCAGCGACGCCGCGUGGAGGAAGAAGGUCUUCGGAUUGUAAACUCCUGUUGUUGAGGAAGAUAAUGACGGUACUCAACAAGGAAGUGACGGCUAACUACGUG